AGCAGCCGCGGUAAUUCCAGCCCCAAUAGCGUAUAUUAAAGUUGUUGCAGUUAAAAAGCUCGUAGUUGAAUUUCGGAAUCUGUUCGUCGGUCGGGCUUCACUGUCCGUACUGGUGUGGUGGGUUCUUACCUUCUGAAUAACCAGCAUGCCAUUCACUUGGUGCGCUGGGGAAGCAGGACUAUUACCUUGAAAAAAUUAGAGUGCUCAAAGCAGGCUAGUGCCUGAAUACAUUAGCAUGGAAUAAUAAAAUAGGACGGCAUGGUUCUAUUUUGUUGGUUUCUAGGAUCACCGUAAUGAUUAAUAGGGAUAGUUGGGGGCAUUAGUAUUCAAUUGUCAGAGGUGAAAUUCUUGGAUUUAUUGAAGACUAACUUCUGCGAAAGCAUUUGCCAAGGAUGUUUUCAUUAAUCAAGAACGAAAGUUAGGGGAUCGAAGACGAUCAGAUACCGUCGUAGUCUUAACCAUAAACUAUGCCGACUAGGGAUCGGACGAUGUUAAUUUUUUAAUGACUCGUUCGCGUACC
RNAcentral lists this ribosomal RNA (520 nucleotides) under uncultured Acaulospora. RNAcentral's name for it is "SSU rRNA". It matches the Rfam family "Eukaryotic small subunit ribosomal RNA", at positions 569 to 1087 of the family's 1831-position model. Lineage: Eukaryota; Fungi; Glomeromycota; Glomeromycetes; Diversisporales; Acaulosporaceae. The record is from RNAcentral.